CGCGCAUGUGCGGACGGCUGGCUGCAGGUGGCCGGGCUGGCUGUAACCCGCCGCUGGACUGGCGCUUUUGUGUCAGGAGGGUUCGGCCUGGCAGCCGUCGCCUGUAAGCUACGAGGAGGAGCUUUACGACUUGGCCGGGAGCAGCAAAGGCCAGACUCUGCGCGAACAGACGCUACGCGCCAACCGGCCGGCACCUGGCGGGCACCAUCGCACGGUGGCGCAGAAGCUCCUCAAUGGCCAGCGCCAGCUGCAGCAGCGGCCGCGCACUAGCCUCACCUGAGCUUGGGCGAAUGUGGAUUGGGAAAGUCGACAUUAAUCAACUCAUUAUUCCUCAUAGAUUUGUAUUCUGCAGAGUAUCCAGGUCCUUCUCACAGAAUUAAAAAGACUGUACAGAGAUACAGGGAGUCCACGGAGCCUCCCCUGCAAGCAUCAGUACAGAAGUCGACAAUCUGGAUGCAAGCCCAGACUGUUUCCAAGAUUGGAUGAAGAGAAUCAAUUGACAAUGCUGUGAAGACAGGGAUUUGGAGCGUGUUGGGGGAGGUAGUGUUGACUUCCUUGUGCAAUCUAGGAUUCAGUGGGGGAUGCAGUUGGAAGGGAAGAGAAGUAAGACUCCUCCAUCUUCCUGGUCCAGAGAAAUUAUGCUGGAGCCCCCUACCCUUAAUGAGAAAGGAGGUGUUUUUGUUUCCACCAUCUUUGAGGUCUGAUUGCUAAUGUAGCUACCUUUAAAUAAUUCUGCAAUUUACAAUAAAAGUGAGAUCUCCCUCCUCCAUCCUGUGUUACACAGCCUGGGAUUGCAUCCUUUUUCCUGGCACCUUUCCAUUGCGGGAGCCUGCCUUUGACUUUCUUUCCUCUCCACACAUCUUCUAUUCAUGCUGCUUCUCUUUUCAGAUAGUGCUGAGCUCCUAGGCGAGUGUCCUUCCCAACGGAUGAAUAUUCAGCAGAGAAUGGAGAGCUUUCUACCGUAAGAAUCAGGAUGUGGCUGUUUAUAAAGUUAUUGCAUUAUUUGAAGAGUGGCUGCAAUUAGUUUUGGUGUUAGGCAGCAAAAACCCCAAAAUGUUCUUUUUUAUUUCACGUUGCUUGCAUAAUACAGAUACCCAUUUACUAGAAGAAAUCUUCAUGGGUAAGUGUAUGAGUGUGUAUGCAUAAGAAUGUGUGUGUGUGUGUGUGUGUGUGUGACUCCACAUAUAUUUCUAGAGUGCCUUCUAUGUGCCAGACAUGGUGUUGGUUGACAUAUGUAAUUGAGAAUAAAACAGUCAUGAUUUCUGCUCUUAAUCAAUUUACAAUCUAGGAUAAAAUAGACCUUCCAUGUUCAAAUCCACAAUGACAUUAAUUGCAAUAUGAUCAUUGUUGUGUUUGAAGAAUAGCUAAGAAAAACACAAAGAACUUACAAGAUGGCUUAACAGAAGAACUUCAUCUAGCUUAGAAGUCUGGAUAGCCCCUUUCUAAGAAAGUGCUAUGAGUAAGGAUGAAUAGGAAUAGGCCAGAUAAAAUACGAAGCCAGGAGUGGGAGGUAGACAUGGGGGAGGGAGGUGACAUUGUACUGAUGGAGAGAUGUGGAGAGCUGAGGAGGCUGAUGAAUGUAGAGAAAGUUGAAGUGUCACUGGAUUGCAGUUCUUGAUAGGUAGAAGUGUUGUAUGAGGGGACGAAAACAAGGCCAUUGGAAAGGGAAGUUGAAGGUGGUGGUGGUGUUUGUGAAGGUAUUUAUAUUAUUGCAGAAUUAUCUGAAGUGCAGUUUCCAAUGUUGACAAAAUUCAUGGUGUGACUGUGGAAGUUGGUGCUUGAGGUGAAUUAUGACAACUAUCAGUGGGUAUCAGGGUAAGGAACUGCUGGGCAGUGUGUUGAUGGUGCAUCUAAGUGGUGUUAAAUCUGCUUAGCACGAUGGUAGGGUUGGGUGAAAAGGAGACUUUGAGUUGGGUGCUAAAUUCUUUAAGGAAUGAUCAAAUGAUUAAGUGAGGACUAGAGGGAGAAGAGGCUCUUAUUGUCAACACUCAAAGGAGCAGCUUACAAAAGAGAGUGCAGUCAUUUGUCUGCAAGUGGCAUUGGGUAGUCAGGAGGACAAUGCCUUGGUUCUGAUACUGGGAUAUUUGGAGUUUGAUGGAAAACAUCUCCCAGCCCCCACUUGAGAGGAGAAGCAGUAUCCUUAGGGGACAGUGGGUUUCAGUGAAGUCGAGAAACUGUGUUGGGUGUGUGCGUGUGUGCGUGUGUGUGUGUGUAUGUGUGUGUCAUAACUUUGAGAUAAUGAUGGGUUAGAAACAUGUAGAUUAAGGUAAGAAGAGACUACCCUCAGGCAUUAAUCCAAACUUUGAAUUUCUUCUAGAAACCUUCUCUCAAGUCACAGUCAAGUGAUCCAGCAAUUGCAAAAUCACUCUCUUCUAAUGUGUACCAUUUCACUUGGUAGCUCUUUCUGUUGAAUAAAUGAUACUGUAUAUAAUAGGCAGUCAAAUAUUCUAGUAUUUUCUAUGCAAAUGUGUAGAAAAAAGUGUUUGGGGGUAUGAAGUCAGGGUAGGUAGGCUGAAAGAUUAUUUUAUUUAUUAUUUAUAUUUGUUCCUGUAGUGCUCAUGUGAUUUAAAAUAUAAAAAUUAGACAUUUACGUUGGAAAAGUGCAUCAAAACUUGAAAAAUUAAUUUUCAAACAUUUUAUGCUACUGUUGGAGUUAUGAAUGUAACUUGUCUGAAGAAGCUUCCUGAUCAUUGUGCUUCAUUUUCUUCUUAUUUGGACUGUAUAGAUUGUACAGUUUUUAUUUGACAGAUGAACAUUAGCACUGAAGAAGCAAAUUGAAUAAAAUACAGACAUUUAAGUUAAUUUAAAAUGUAAGUUUUAUUUUAUUUUUGGAUGGAGUCUUGACUGCAUCCUGAAAAUAUAGCUGAUGUUUUUAUUAUCUUAGCGUAAGCUGUGUAGUCAAAAGAAUAGUGGGAAUAAUCACUGUGUGUGGAUAUUGUUGUUUCCGAGGUAUAUUCUGUCCUAGCCAACUACUAACCAAAGGAUCUUUCAGAAAUGUUCUCCCAAACCACUGCCCAUUGGAUAGCAAAUGCAGUAUCUAUUUUAGAGGAAAUUAUUGCAUCAGAUUAAAAUGGUUAAAUUGUCUUAACAUGCCAGGAUCUUAUCUUUUCAUGAAAACAUUUUUUAUUAACUUUUUUUAAAGGAGGACAACUGCUCUUCAGAUGUUUCCCAUGAGAACUGGAGAUUAAACUUUGAUUUUUCUCCUUUUAUCCUCCCUGACAGAAGCUGUAUAUUUUGAGGAUAACCACUUGGUUAAAAGCAAAAUAGCCUUAAAUAAACACACAUACCUUAAAAUGAAUGAGCAUUUCUGGUGUAGUCUUAGAUUUCACAGUGUCAAACUAACUGGGUUGAGAAAGCCACCAGAAUUUCAUAGCUCAAAGUUCAGGUUUUAUACAGGAUUUAUGUGUCAUGUAGAAUAUUUUGUUUGCUGCAGUUUGAAAUGAUAGUAUCUUCUUCUCUAGGAAACUGAUGUUUAACCGAUAAGUGCAACCAGAUUGCUAACACGAGCUGCAGGAAAAAAUUUCACCAUUUUGAAUGGGGUUUGUCUUUACCACACAAAAUGUAUGCCUGUAUUAUCGAUUAUGUGAAAAUAUCUAUAAUUGUUAGAAAGAUAAAGCACACGUUUGCCAGGAAAAAUCCAUUUUUUCCAUAUCUCUCUUUGUGUACUGUGGUUUUACAAUUUCCUUUUCAUUUUUAAUGGUGUUUUCUGUUUAAAAAAGCUUAUUUGAAAAAAUUAAACAAAAAUUGUAUACAUUUAUUGUGUACAAUGUAAUAUUUUAAAAUAUGCAUAUAUUUGGAAUGGCUAAAUGUAGCUAAUUUUCAUAUGCAUAAUUAUGAUUUUUGUGGUGAGGACACUUAAAGUCUACUCUCUUAGAAAUUUUCCAGAAUACAAUACUGUACAUUGUUAUUAAUUGUAGUCACCAUAUUGCACAAUAGAACUCUUGGACUUACUACUCCUGUCCAGGUGAAAUUUUGUAUACUUUGACAAACAUGUCUCCAACCUCCACCUCUCUCCCCACCAGUUCCUUGUAACCACCAUUCUACUUUCUGCUUCUGUGAGUUCAACUUCGUUAGAUUCCACAUGUGAUAUUUGUCUUUCUGUGCCUGGCUUAUUUCACUUAACAUAAUGUCCUCCAGGUUCACCCAUGUUUCACAAAUGACAGAGUUUCUUUUUUAAGGCUGAAUAGUAUUCCACUGUGCAUAUAUAUCACAUUUCCUUUAUCCAUCCCUCCAUUGUUGGACAUUUAGGCUGAUUCCAUCUUUUGGCUAUUAUGAAUAAUGCUGCAAUGAACAUGGGAGUGCAGAUAUCUCUUUGACACAUGGAUUUCAUUUCCAUUGGAUAUAUGCGGUAUGCUCAGAGAUGAGAUUGGUGGAUAAUAUGGUAGCUCUUUCCAAAUUUUUUGAAGAAUCUCCAUAUGGGUUUCCAUAACGGAUGUACCAAUUUACAUUCCCAUGUGCAUUAUUUUCUGACAUCGAUAAAGCAGUAGAUCUAUUCAUUUCACAAAACUUUAUUGUAUGCUUACUAUGCAUCAGCAUAAUGGGAGGUGCAUUUGAUACAAAUAAAAGGCACAGUCUUGUUCAGAAGCAGAUAUGAUAACUAUUUAUUAAACAAAGACGGCAGAAGUGGGCAACUGACCACAUGUGAGAAAAGUAACAAGGAGAGUGGAAUCUAGGAUGAUGUAUAUUUUGGCUUGGGCUAUUAAGCUGAUGGGGAAUAUAUAUUUUUUGAAGUGGAAUAUACUGUCACCUUAUUUCUAAGUAGGGUCAAGUUGGAAGCCAAAUAAAACUUUCCAACAUUGGUUCUUCUAGCACGUUAAUAAAAUGUACUUUGUGAUUAUGAGCAGCCGGUUUGAAGAUUGAUUCAUUUCUACUCCUGUUACCUUGAUAAAUAAGAAAUAAAUUUCAUGGACAAGAACUCAUCAUUUGAAAUAGAUGGUAACAGUUGGAUUGUCAUUGAUUACGUGAGGUGAUUUACAGGGAGGUCCAGCACAUGCAUGUAGUGUGCUAAUACUUGCCACGUCUGUUUUCUGUUAAUUAAUACAAAUGUUGUUGUGUAGUUUUUGGUAUUCUGACUCAAAUUGAGAAAAUGUAUACACUUUUAUAUACACAUAUUAAUGUAAAACUUGGACCUGGAAAAGCAGAGAUUUCUAAUAAGUUAGCCAACAUUUUCUUUGAAGAAUUCAAGGUACCCUGAAGUACUUUCUCUAAUGAUUGAAUUGUUAUUGUUGGAGGUCAAUUCUCCACAGACUUUUUGUAUUUCUGCAUCUCUUGUGAGUGAGCAACUAACUGUCCUUCAUUCUGAACUAUCUUUUCAGGGAUAUUUGUGUGGUGAACAGUCUUGGAACAUAGAGCCAGUGUCUCUCUCUGGAGCAAAGGCCAGGCAUGCUCAUUGCCCAUUAUGAAGCAUUCAGAUUCCCUAAAUUAAACAUUCCUCUUCUAUAGCACAAUCACUGAACAUGUAGAUACCAUCUGGUUCUCUUUGUAUCACUUUACAAAAAUGGAGUCCUGGUUAACUGGUACAAAAAAUGCUAAUACUUUUGCUACUGCUAUUGUCAUGAGUACUAAACUAUUCUUUGUCUGUGACCCAGGAGUCUUGUGUCUUCUACCAGCAUUCAUGAAACUUUUGUCAGGCUAACUGGUUAGUAUCAAGAAGGGUGAACUCUCAGACCCUUUGCAGUUUUUUGUUUGUUUAUUUGUUUGUUUUGUUUUGUUUUGUUUCUUGAGAUGGAGUAGUGCUCUAUUGCCCAGGCUGGAGUGAAGUGGCGUGAUCUCAGCUCACUGCAACCUUUGCCUCUUGGGUUCAAGCGAUUCUCCUGCCUCAGCCUCCCGAGUAGCUGGGACUACAGGCGUGUGCGACCACACCCGGCUAAUUUUUUGUAUUUUUAGUAGAGACGGGGUUUCACCGUGUUAGCCAGGAUGGUCUCGAUCUCCUGACCUCGUGAUCCACCCUCCUCGGCCUCCCAGAGUUCUGGGAUUACAGGCAUGAGCCAUGGCGCCAGGCCUCCUUCACAGUUUUUGAUGGUUAAUGCACUUUAGUGUCUUACCUUCCAAUCCGUAGACUCUAUUCUACCAUAAAAUAUGAAACAUCCCAACUUUUCCACAUUGAGAGGAUGGAACUCUAAGUUGCAGAUUGACAUGAUUUGGCUGUGUCCCCACCAAAAUUUCAACUUGAAUUGUAGCUUCCAGAAUUCCCAAGUGUUGUAGGAGGGACCUAGGGGGAGGUAAAUGGAUCAUGGGGACUGGUCUUUCCUGUGCUAUUCUUGUGACAGUGAAUACGUCUCACGAGAUCUGAUGAGUUUAUCAGGGUUUCCUGCUUUUGUUUCUUCCUAAUUUUUCUCUUGCUGCCACCAUGUAAGAAGUGCUUUUCAUCUCCUGCCAUGAUUCUGAGGCCUCCCCAGCCAUGUGGAACUGUUAGUCCAAUUAAGCCUCUAUUUCAUCCCAGUUUCAGAUGAAUAUGGUGCCUCACAUUUAUUACAUAUCACGAAUUUUGAAACGUCUCACUGAGAAAUAUUGGAGUGUAAGUGUACAUUUAAAGCAAUGGCUUCUGUGAAAUAUGAAUAUUUGCUAUCACUCAUAGUUCAUUUAUUUUCAGUGAAUUUAACUUUUAUCUAAGCACCAUAAAGAAGUGUUUUGCUUUCUUAUUGUAAUCAAGUUUAUUGAGGUGUUAUUUAUGUGUAAAAGAUUGCAUCCAGUGUACAGUUUUAUGAAUAUUGACAGUUUAACAUGCCUGUAAGAUCACCAUCACCAUCAAGACCCAAAACACUUCCAACACCCCCAAAGGCUUACACGUACCCUUUGACCAAACGGAUUUUGAUAAUGUGUGUAAGCCCUUGAUAUUGAGCAAUUUGUGAAUAAUUUCUACUGAGGAGUUUUUAUUAGUUUCCUAUUUUAUUUACUUUUUUAAUUAUCAGCAUUAAUAUUUUACUCUUUUCCUGGGUUAUUUGCUUUGAUUUCUGUUUUCCUUUUAAGGGUCCUCUUUUUGGUAUUUCCUUCUCUUUCAUAUCCAUUGGAGCAGAAAGACCAAAUAAUAUUUUCAUGAUCUCACAUAAAUGAGAUACAUGGAAUAAAUUUGAAAAAAACAUCAAGAUUAAGUAGCUUCAAAGGAAAAAAAAGUCAUACAAAAAAGAAGGUGGGAAUUAGUGUACUUGAGUAUGGAAAUUGAUUAAGCAGUGAAACUAUGAUGACAAUUAUUUUUGCAAUUCAGUUAUGAAUUAUGCUUAAAAUGUGUACUUUAUUCACUUUAAUUAUGAUGUUUGAUUCUAAAGUUUUUCAUUCUCUCAAUUAUUGAUACAUUUUCUAGGGAAGUCUUUCUCAAGUAUUUGUUUUCAUGUGACUUUUUAUAAUCAUGGCUCUCAAAAUCUAAGGAUGGAUUUUGAACAGCCUAUUUCUCUCAGCAGUGUAAAAUGAGUCACAUGGGUCAUAUUUGUCUUGAGUCCCUUCAAAGACUGGAAUGUGAGUAGAAAUCGCAGAGCAACUUUCCCACAGCACUAAUUGCAUGUGAAGGACAAGACACUUCCAUAUUGUAAUACCAAAUAUAAAAUAGUGCAAAAAAAAGUCUUUGGUUAGAACUGUUCCAUUUGUCAUACGCCUUCUAAUUUAUAAAACAAGAAUUUUCUCUCUUGUCUCACCCGGUUGGAGGAUCAGCUUUAUUUUUCAAAAUUUGGAUGGAAAUCAGUCUUCAGCCUGCCCUAUCUGAAAAGAGAAAAAAUGCUUGCAACUGUUUGAAACACUAUAAAUCGGAAUACUUGAAGUCAGUUAUCUAGGAUUUUUAUAUCACUCCUCUUCCAACUUCCCGCUUCUCACUGAUGAGGAUUUCUUUCUUACUUUGAGGGGAAGAAUACACAGCAACUGUGAAAAUGUAAAAUAAAAUGAAUUCAUCUGA
RNA transcript from Symphalangus syndactylus (siamang), 7882 nucleotides. It is a transcript of the gene named TATA-box binding protein associated factor 11 like protein 2-like, with no coding region annotated. NCBI's taxonomy places the organism in Eukaryota, Metazoa, Chordata, Mammalia, Primates, Hylobatidae. The record is from RefSeq and is a predicted model, not a curated record.